Molecule: ribosomal RNA, 159 nt
Filed under: Hirsutella thompsonii
Lineage: Eukaryota; Fungi; Ascomycota; Sordariomycetes; Hypocreales; Ophiocordycipitaceae
Description: 5.8S ribosomal RNA
Rfam family: 5.8S ribosomal RNA
About the family: 5.8S ribosomal RNA (5.8S rRNA) is a component of the large subunit of the eukaryotic ribosome. It is transcribed by RNA polymerase I as part of the 45S precursor that also contains 18S and 28S rRNA.
Source: RNAcentral
AACUUUCAACAACGGAUCUCUUGGUUCUGGCAUCGAUGAAGAACGUAGCGAAAUGCGAUAAGUAAUGUGAAUUGCAGAAUUCAGUGAACCAUCGAAUCUUUGAACGCACAUUGCGCCCGCCAGUAUUCUGGCGGGCAUGCCUGUUCGAGCGUCAUUUCA